GACGAACGCUGGCGGCGUGCUUAACACAUGCAAGUCGAACGGUGAAGCGCCUUCCUUUUUGGUGGGUGUGGAUGAGUGGCGAACGGGUGAGUAACACGUUAGUAACCUGCCCCCUUCUUCUGGAUAACCGCAUGAAAGUGUGGCUAAUACGGGAUAUUCUGGGUCUGUCGCAUGAUGGGUCUGGGACAGAUAUUGUUUCGGUGGUGGAUGGGCUCGCGGCCUAUCAGCUUGUUGGUGGGGUGAUGGCCUACCAAGGCGGUGACGGGUAGCCGGCCUGAGAGGGUGGACGACACUAGUGCGGAUGAGCGGCGGCGCCGCCUACUACAGGAGGCAGCAGUGGAGAAUAUGGCACGAUGGGAGGAAGGCUGGUGCAACGCCGCGGCGUGAGUGAUGGAGGCCUUCGGGUUGUGAACUUCUUUCGGGAGUGAAGAAGGGCUGAAUCGUUUGUGGGUGGGUUGACGGUAGCUGGACAAGAAGCGCCGGCUAACUACGUG
RNAcentral lists this ribosomal RNA (494 nucleotides) under uncultured bacterium. Its description in RNAcentral is "partial 16S ribosomal RNA". It matches the Rfam family "Bacterial small subunit ribosomal RNA", at positions 28 to 507 of the family's 1533-position model. The record is from RNAcentral.